CCUACGGGUGGCUGCAGUAGGGAAUCUUCCACAAUGGCCGAAAGUCUGAUGGAGCAACGCCGCGUGAGUGAAGAAGGGUUUCGGCUCGUCAGGCUCUGUUGGUCGUGAGGCAAGAUAGCGGUAGUAACUGGCCUUUAUUUGACGGUAAUUACUUAGAAAGUCACGGCUAACUACGUGCCAGCAGCCGCGGUAAUACGUAGGUGGCAAGCGUUGUCCGGAUUUAUUGGGCGUAAAGCGAGUGCAGGCGGUGCCAUAACUCUGAUGUGAAAGCCGUCGGCUCAACCGGAGAAGUGCAUCAGAAACUGGGGAACUUGAGUGCAGAAGAGGAGAGUGGAACGCGAUGUGUAGCGGUGGAAUGCGUAGAUAUAUGGAAGAACCCCAGUGGCGAAGGCGGCGCGCUGGGCUGCAACUGACGCUGAGGCUCGAAAGCACGGGUAGCGAACAGGAUUAGAUACCCUUGUAGUC
This 465-nucleotide ribosomal RNA is filed under the name uncultured bacterium. Its description in RNAcentral is "partial 16S ribosomal RNA". It matches the Rfam family "Bacterial small subunit ribosomal RNA", at positions 338 to 795 of the family's 1533-position model. The record is from RNAcentral.